Molecule: ribosomal RNA, 373 nt
Filed under: uncultured eukaryote
Lineage: Eukaryota
Description: partial 18S ribosomal RNA
Rfam family: Eukaryotic small subunit ribosomal RNA
Source: RNAcentral
CAAUAGCGUAUACUAAAGUUGUUGCAGUUAAAAAGCUCGUAGUUGAAUUUUUGCUUGCCGCCGAUGUCGGAACUUCCGUACGUUCGGCGGCGUGCAUCCUUGGGUGGAACCUGUGUGGCAUUAGGUUGUCGUGCAGGGGAUGCUCAUCGUUUACUGUGAAAAAAUUAGAGUGUUCAAAGCAGGCUUACGCCGUUGAAUAUAUUAGCAUGGAAUAAUAAGAUAGGACCUUGGUACUAUUUUGUUGGUUUGCGCACCGAGGUAAUGAUUAACAGGGACAGUUGGGGGUAUUCGUAUUCCAUUGUCAGAGGUGAAAUUCUUGGAUUUCUGGAAGACGAACUACUGCGAAAGCAUUUACCAAGGAUGUUUUCAUUAA